Molecule: ribosomal RNA, 243 nt
Filed under: uncultured Actinomycetales bacterium
Lineage: Bacteria; Bacillati; Actinomycetota; Actinomycetes; Actinomycetales
Description: partial 16S ribosomal RNA
Rfam family: Bacterial small subunit ribosomal RNA
Source: RNAcentral
UACUCGAGUGGCGAACGGGUGAGUAACACGUGGGUGAUCUGCCCUGCACUUCGGGAUAAGCCUGGGAAACUGGGUCUAAUACCGGAUAGGAGCCAUUUUUAGUGUGAUGGUUGGAAAGUUUUUUAGGUGUAGGAUGAGCUCGCGGCCUAUCAGCUUGUUGGUGGGGUAAUGGCCUACCAAGGCGGCGACGGGUAGCCGGCCUGAGAGGGUGGACGGCCACAUUGGGACUGAGAUACGGCCCAG